GGUUACAUCACGUUGAAACGCCACUUCUCGUACGAUAACUGAAGUUAAGCAAGGUUAAGUCUGCUCAGUACCUAGGUGGGUGACCGUUUGGGAAUACCAGGUGAUGUAA
Non-coding RNA from Acanthosepion pharaonis, 109 nucleotides. NCBI's taxonomy places the organism in Eukaryota, Metazoa, Mollusca, Cephalopoda, Sepiida, Sepiidae. The record is from the annotation of a GenBank genome assembly.